This is a long non-coding RNA of Vigna unguiculata (cowpea), 656 nucleotides long. RefSeq lists it as uncharacterized. The record is from RefSeq and is a predicted model, not a curated record. Lineage: Eukaryota; Viridiplantae; Streptophyta; Magnoliopsida; Fabales; Fabaceae.
CAUAUUUGGUGAGCAACAUGGGAUCUUCAAGAUGUUUCAUCGUCAGCAUGACACUCUUGUUAGCCCUCUUCAUCAUAAAUUCAGAUUUGUGCAUCAUAAAGGCAGAAGCAAGAGGAAUCAUUUAUCGAUUACCAUGUGAUAACAAUAAACAGUGCCAAGAUGGGUGCAAAAAUCCAAAUUGUGGAUGUUCAUCGAUAUGCAUUGAACAUGUCUGUCAAUGUCCACAUGAUCUAACUUCUAUUGAUACUGUCAAAUCAUCCCACCAAACACCAGCACCACACCACCCUCAACCACCACACCAAGCACCAUCACCACACCAUCAUAGCCCACCACACCAUGGUUCACCACAUCACCCACCACACCAUCACUUACCACACCACCACCAACAUGAUCAUAAAGCACCAGCACCCCAUCACCACCAACAUCAUCACCAAGCACCAACACCCCACCACCACCAACAUCAUCACCAAGCACCGGCACCCCACCACCACCAACAUCAUCACCAAGCACCAACACCCCACCACCACCCACAUCACCACCAAGCACCGCCUCCACAUCAUGCACCCUUAAAUUGAGUCAUCUUCUUAUGGAAUUCAUCAACCUCCUUUUCACAUGUAUUUUUAGUUCUUAAUAAAAUGUGAUUGUUUCUUUUCUCA